GGAAGGCUGAGUCAGGAGCCGCUGCCAGCCGCCGCCAUGACAAGCCACAUGUAAAGAUACCAGAAGGGCCAGAGAAGUAGCCAGAGAAGGAGAAGGACUCCAGGGGCCAGUCACCUAGCUGCACAGCAAGCCACAGAGUAAGAAACAAAGAAAGGAUCAGCAAGACGUACUGUUUGGAAGACUAAAGCAAGGCCUACCCAACACUGUUAAGGACCAUCCCACUCAGAGAGCCUGAGUGUCAGUGCUGCUGAAGGGGCAUGUGGGCUGAAGAUGGUUCAAUCUCCAAGACAAAUUGCUCCCUACAAACAAU
Peromyscus eremicus (cactus mouse) is the source of this 310-nucleotide long non-coding RNA. RefSeq lists it as uncharacterized. Lineage: Eukaryota; Metazoa; Chordata; Mammalia; Rodentia; Cricetidae. The record is from RefSeq and is a predicted model, not a curated record. The transcript is spliced from 3 exons.